Molecule: ribosomal RNA, 645 nt
Filed under: uncultured marine eukaryote
Lineage: Eukaryota
Description: SSU rRNA
Rfam family: Eukaryotic small subunit ribosomal RNA
Source: RNAcentral
AAAAAGCUCGUAGUUGGAUUUCUGUUGAGGUCGACCGGUGCGCACUCCGUGUGUUAUUUGGUUCGGUCUCGGCAUCCUCGUGGGGAACGUUUCUGGACUUUAUUGGACAGGGCGAGAUUCACGACUUUUACUUUGAGGAAAUUAGAGUGUUCACGGCAGGCAAGUGCUUUGAAUACAUUAGCAUGGAAUAAUAAUAUAGGACCUUCGUUCUAUUUUGUUGGUUUCUAGAACUUAGGUAAUGAUUAAUAGGGACAAUUGGGGGCAUUCGUAUUAACGCGUCAGAGGUGGAAUUCUUGGAUUGCGUUACGACGAACUACUGCGGAAGCAUUUGCCAAAGAUGUUUUCAUUGAUCAAGAACGAAAGUAUGGGGAUCGAAGACGCUUAGAUACCGUCGUAGUCUAUACCAUAAACUAUGCCAACUAGGGAUUGGAGGGGUUAUCCUAUGUGGCUCCUUCAGCACCUUAUGAGAAAUCAAAGUUUUCGGGUUCCGGGGGGGAAGUUAUGGGUUCGCCAAAGGGCUUGAAAAACUUUAAAGGAAUUGACGGAAGGGCACCACCAGGAGUGGAGCCUGCGGCUUAAUUUGACUCAACACGGGAAAACUCUCCAGGUCCAGACAUAGUAAGGAUUGACAGAUUGAUAGCUCUU